ACUGCCGUAAUGGCCAUAGCAGAAGCACUUAUGUCACGGCCCUGUCAGAUUCUAACAAAUCUGCAAAUUCUGCU
Molecule: ribozyme, 74 nt
Filed under: Crocodylus porosus (Australian saltwater crocodile)
Lineage: Eukaryota; Metazoa; Chordata; Crocodylia; Crocodylidae
Description: Mammalian CPEB3 ribozyme (ENSCPRG00005007998.1)
Rfam family: Mammalian CPEB3 ribozyme
About the family: The mammalian CPEB3 ribozyme is a self cleaving RNA located in the second intron of the CPEB3 gene which belongs to a family of genes regulating messenger RNA polyadenylation. This ribozyme is highly conserved and found only in mammals.
Source: Rfam by way of RNAcentral